GGUCCAGUAGUGUAGUGGUUAACAUGUCGGUCUGUCACACCGAAGAUCGCGGGUUCAAGUCCCGUCUGGACCGCCA
This 76-nucleotide transfer RNA is filed under the name Candidatus Xianfuyuplasma coldseepsis. Its description in RNAcentral is "Xianfuyuplasma coldseepsis tRNA-Asp". It matches the Rfam family "tRNA". Rfam says of the family: Transfer RNA (tRNA) molecules are approximately 80 nucleotides in length. Their secondary structure includes four short double-helical elements and three loops (D, anti-codon, and T loops). Lineage: Bacteria; Bacillati; Mycoplasmatota; Mollicutes; Candidatus Izemoplasmatales; Candidatus Izemoplasmataceae. The record is from RNAcentral.